Molecule: long non-coding RNA, 549 nt
Filed under: Homo sapiens (human)
Lineage: Eukaryota; Metazoa; Chordata; Mammalia; Primates; Hominidae
Description: palmitic acid regulated anti-inflammatory lncRNA
Source: RNAcentral
GAGGUUAUAUUCCACUUCUUCUGACUACACCACCACCAUCAAUCUCCUUCUCUGAACUCUUGGAUCAUUACUUCAACCUGAAACAACUCAUCAGGUAUCUAUAAAGGCAGAAUAGUUGCCUACUGCCCCAACCCCACCAAAUGUUCCAGCACCUCUGAUAUUACCUCACAUGGCAAGAGGGCUUUGAAGAUGUGAUUGAGUCAAGGAUCUUGAAUGGGGAGAUUAUCCUGAAUUAUUCAGCUGGACCCAGUGUAAUCACAAAGGUUUUUCAAAGAUGGAAGAGAGGCAGAAGAGCCAGAAAAGGAUAUGUGACAAUGGAGUCAGUGUCAGAGUUGGAGUGACGUGAUGUGAGAAGGAUUCAACCUGCUGUUUCUGGCUUUGAGGAUGAAAGAAGGGGCCAUGAGCCAAGCAAUACAGGUGGCUUCUUUCAAGAAGUUGGAAAAGAAGAGAAAAUAGUGCCAAUAAUUCUUCAUGGAGAUGCACCUCUCUCAAGUCUUGAACAAUGUUUGAGGAAAAGUGCUUUCAGCUGGGCUGAUGAGAACACCUUGG